Non-coding RNA from Ictidomys tridecemlineatus (thirteen-lined ground squirrel), 69 nucleotides. The record is from Rfam. NCBI's taxonomy places the organism in Eukaryota, Metazoa, Chordata, Mammalia, Rodentia, Sciuridae.
GGGGUUGUGGCUCAGUGGUAGAGCACUUACCUUGCAUGUGUGAGGCACUGGGUUCGAUUCUCGGCACCA